GGGCCUGUAGCUCAGUUGGUAGAGCACCGCGUUUACACCGCGGCUGUCGUCGGUUCGAGCCCGGCCGGGCCCACCA
RNAcentral lists this transfer RNA (76 nucleotides) under Allobranchiibius sp. CTAmp26. Its description in RNAcentral is "tRNA-Val". It matches the Rfam family "tRNA". Rfam says of the family: Transfer RNA (tRNA) molecules are approximately 80 nucleotides in length. Their secondary structure includes four short double-helical elements and three loops (D, anti-codon, and T loops). Further hydrogen bonds mediate the characteristic L-shaped molecular structure. tRNAs have two regions of fundamental functional importance: the anti-codon, which is responsible for specific mRNA codon recognition, and the 3' end, to which the tRNAs corresponding amino acid is attached (by aminoacyl-tRNA synthetases). tRNAs cope with the degeneracy of the genetic code in two manners: having more than one tRNA (with a specific anti-codon) for a particular amino acid; and 'wobble' base-pairing, i.e. permitting non-standard base-pairing at the 3rd anti-codon position. The record is from RNAcentral. Lineage: Bacteria; Bacillati; Actinomycetota; Actinomycetes; Micrococcales; Dermacoccaceae.